CCUACGGGGGGCUGCAGUGGGGAAUAUUGGACAAUGGGGGGAACCCUGAUCCAGCCAUGCCGCGUGUGUGAAGAAGGCCCUCGGGUUGUAAAGCACUUUCAGUGAGGAAGAACGCCUGGUGGUUAAUACCCAUCAGGAAAGACAUCACUCACAGAAGAAGCACCGGCUAACUCCGUGCCAGCAGCCGCGGUAAUACGGAGGGUGCGAGCGUUAAUCGGAAUUACUGGGCGUAAAGCGCGCGUAGGUGGCUUGAUAAGCCGGUUGUGAAAGCCCCGGGCUCAACCUGGGAACGGCAUCCGGAACUGUCAAGCUAGAGUGCAGGAGAGGAAGGUAGAAUUCCCGGUGUAGCGGUGAAAUGCGUAGAGAUCGGGAGGAAUACCAGUGGCGAAGGCGGCCUUCUGGACUGACACUGACACUGAGGUGCGAAAGCGUGGGUAGCAAACAGGAUUAGAGACCCGGGUAGUC
This 465-nucleotide ribosomal RNA is filed under the name Vreelandella stevensii. RNAcentral describes it as "partial 16S ribosomal RNA". It matches the Rfam family "Bacterial small subunit ribosomal RNA", at positions 338 to 795 of the family's 1533-position model. Lineage: Bacteria; Pseudomonadati; Pseudomonadota; Gammaproteobacteria; Oceanospirillales; Halomonadaceae. The record is from RNAcentral.